Molecule: transfer RNA, 2275 nt
Filed under: Heterocephalus glaber (naked mole-rat)
Lineage: Eukaryota; Metazoa; Chordata; Mammalia; Rodentia; Bathyergidae
Description: lncRNA (ENSHGLG00000036749.1)
Rfam family: tRNA (bases 1-89)
Source: RNAcentral
CUUCGGUAGCUCAGCUGGCAGAGCGGAGGACUGUGGUAAAUUUCCGUGUAGUUAUCCUUAGAUCGCUGGUUCGAUUCUAGCUCGAAAGAAGAGCUGCUGUUUUGAGGCUCUGGGAGUAUUGUUCUAAGGGUUUUAGCCACAAGUUAAGAGUUGUUUGUCCCACCUCAAUCAAGGAACUGAUGUGCUGUGGUGUUUACUUCUACUGGCUGGACUCCUUACAGCACUGGCGAGCCUAUGGUACGUGGACGGCAUCAGGCACACAAGAGCCAAGUCGCCCUGGCAUCCCAGCACCUGUUAACAGCGCAAAUUUGGAAAGGGGAAGUAGCUGCCCUUGUUGAUGGCGUCACGCACGCGACCCAUUAGCUAUGAGUCCUGAGUGUUCCAGGCACUCCCAAGGAGAUAAAUAUAUACUUUUUUGGAGUGGCUACUCUAAGUCUUGAACAUCAAAAAAUGACUACAGCCAAAAAAGCAAAGCUGAAAACAGCUGAAAUCAUUGCAAGAGGCCUGGAUAGAGUUAUGUGGAGUGAUCAAAUGCAAUGGGAAAACGUUAUAUAUUCUAUGUAGUAAAAGUGUUUCUUGAAGGGAAAUUGAGGAAAUAUCAUUCCCAGUAUCUUAGUUUUUGCAACUAUCUUUCUAAAACAAAUUAUAUGCCAGCUUUCAAAUUUCACAGUGCACAGCAAAACAUGAUUAGCCCCUCAUGGAUGGGGAGUUUAUCCAAAUGGCCAUGUUGUCUGGGAGUAAUUCCCUUUUUCAUGGUUUCCCAAACAAGGAUAAAAUUAUUAAAUGUAUCUCUGAGAUGAAUUUAGCAGAAAUAUCGUUAAAGAUCAAGUCCUGGAUGUAGCAAAUGAUGUUGGUCAGCAGCUCAAAACUGACUUACAAAAGGCAGCCUGUUACUCCAUGUGCUUGGGUGAAUGCACAGAUAUAAAUUAUCAUGCAAGGCUAGCAAUAACUGUGUUAUGCUGUUGGUGACACCAUGAGAGAAGAGCUGGUAAAACUCAUGUCUUUGCUGGAAGAACACAAGAGAUGGAUAUCUACAAUGCUGUGCUAGAGGCUUUUUGUCACAAGACAUACGACCAAAAAAAGUGGUUUCAAUUACUAGCGACGGGGCACCUUGCAUGGUGGGGGCAACAUCUGGUUUCAUAUAGUUCUUUGUUAGAGAAGUAAAAUACCCAGGAUUCACUUUUAUUGUAUUAUACAUUAAGAAGCUCUUUAUGCCAGGGAAAGCAGCAAAAAAAAAAAAUUAGAGGAUGUCACAAAAAUAGUGAACUACACCAUGGCUCAUGCUCUUAACUUUUUUCAAGCACUUCUUGAUGAGGAUCAGGCACAGUGUAAUGCUUUACUUAUGUACAAUAAUGUCCAGGAGCUGAGCAGAGAAUAAGUUCUGGAGAGAUUUGUAGCUUGCUUGGAUGAAAUUAGGCUGUUUAUGAAUGAAAAAGGGCAGGAAUAGCCACAACUUAUUGAUACAACCCCAUUUUAAAAAAUAUGUAACAGAUUUUACACUACAAUGUACUGAACAAAAAACUAUAAAGGAUGUUUUGUAAUAUCAAAACAUUUGAGAGAAAAUGCAGGUUUUUGAAAGAAACCUUCAAAGUGGGCAGCUGAAAUAUUUUUCAAAUCUAAAAAUACAGUUAGAAAAUGGCACAAUAUUUGCAGACAAUCCUACAGGUCAUCAGGAAAUCUACAAGGAAUUUUCUAGCAUUGUAGCAGCUGUAAAGGAGAAAUUUAGUAACAGAUUUUUAUAGUUCCAUUAAGAUGGAGACAACGCUGUGUUUUCUCACUUCUCCAAAUAAAGCCAACAUUGAAGAACUUGAUCUUUCCUCCUUACACUGGAUAGAUUUUGGAAAUCUGGAAAUGGAGCUAUUAGAAUUUUAAGAAACUCUAUGACCUGCAUGCAACACUUGAGAAGACAGAGAAUAUAGAGUGAAGGGAUGACAAAGGUCAGCAGAGCUGGUAGCUCUGAAAAUGAAAUCCUGAAAGUGUGGCGUUCUCUGUGAAAUAAUUUUAAGUCAAUGAGCCCUUGGGAUCGCUUUUCUUUGUUUAGAUCAUCUUAUACUUGUGAGCAGCUAUUUUCAGGUUUGAAUUAUAUCAAAUCUGAUACAAGAAACAGAUUAACAGCUGACUGAGUGCUGCAUGUGUUGCCCCCAAACUAACGAGUGUGAGCCAAGGUUUGACAAAUUAUCGGCAUGUAUACAACAGCAAAGAUCACAUUAAUUGGUCAAAAGCACUCCAAAUGCAAACUUUUAGCUUUCAAUAAAAGCCAUUUGUAUCACUGAAA